ACAAGGCAGCAAUGCUGAGGUGGCGACCGGCGCACGGGUGCGUAACGCGUAUCCAACCUUCCCGUUANCUUGGCAUAGCCUUUCGAAAGAGAGAUUAAUUCCGAAUAACGUAGUAACGUUGCCUGAUGAUACUACGAAAGCUCCGGGCGGGAGAGGGAUGGGGGAUGCGUUCCAUUAGGUAGUAGGCGGGGUAACGGCCACCUAGCCAACGAUGGAUAGGGGUUCUGAGAGGAAGGUCCCCCACAUUGGAACUGAGACACGGUCCAAACUCCUACGGGGAGGCAGCAGUGAGGAAUAUUGGUCAAUGGACGGAAGUCUGAACCAGCCAAGUAGCGUGAAGGAUGACUGCCCUAUGGGUUGUAAACUUCUUUUGUCGUGGAACAAAAACCUGCCACGUGUGGCAUUUUGCGUGUACACGUUGAAUAAGCAUCGGCUAACUCCGUG
RNAcentral lists this ribosomal RNA (444 nucleotides) under uncultured bacterium. Its description in RNAcentral is "bacterial SSU rRNA". It matches the Rfam family "Bacterial small subunit ribosomal RNA", at positions 71 to 507 of the family's 1533-position model. The record is from RNAcentral.